CACUCUAGCGAGACUGCCGGUAAUAAACCGGAGGAAGGUGGGGAUGACGUCAAAUCAUCAUGCCCCUUAUGACCUGGGCUACACACGUGCUACAAUGGUUGGUACAACGAGUUGCGAGUCGGUGACGGCGAGCUAAUCUCUUAAAGCCAAUCUCAGUUCGGAUUGUAGGCUGCAACUCGCCUACAUGAAGUCGGAAUUGCUAGUAAUCGCGGAUCAGCACGCCGCGGUGAAUACGUUCCCGGGCCUU
RNAcentral lists this ribosomal RNA (247 nucleotides) under uncultured Streptococcus sp. RNAcentral describes it as "partial 16S ribosomal RNA". It matches the Rfam family "Bacterial small subunit ribosomal RNA", at positions 1136 to 1382 of the family's 1533-position model. Lineage: Bacteria; Bacillati; Bacillota; Bacilli; Lactobacillales; Streptococcaceae. The record is from RNAcentral.